UAGGGAAUCUUCGNGCAAUGGGGGGAACCCUGACCGAGCAACGCCGCGUGAGUGAAGAAGGUUUUCGGAUCGUAAAGCUCUGUUGUUAAGGAAGAACGAGUGUGAGAAUGGAAAGUUCAUACUGUGACGGUACUUAACCAGAAAGGGACGGCUAACUACGUGCCAGCAGCCGCGGUAAUACGUAGGUCCCGAGCGUUGUCCGGAUUUAUUGGGCGUAAAGCGAGCGCAGGCGGUUAGAUAAGUCUGAAGUUAAAGGCAGUGGCUCAACCAUUGUAGGCUUUGGAAACUGUUUAACUUGAGUGCAGAAGGGGAGAGUGGAAUUCCAUGUGUAGCGGUGAAAUGCGUAGAUAUAUGGAGGAACACCGGUGGCGAAAGCGGCUCUCUGGUCUGUAACUGACGCUGAGGCUCGAAAGCGUGGGGAGCGAACAGGAUUAGAUACCCUGGUAGUCCACGCCGUAAACGAUGAGUGCUAGGUGUUAGGUCCUUUCCGGGACUUAGUGCCGCAGCUAACGCAUUAAGCACUCCGCCUGGGGAGUACGACCGCAAGGUUG
This 551-nucleotide ribosomal RNA is filed under the name uncultured bacterium. Its description in RNAcentral is "bacterial SSU rRNA". It matches the Rfam family "Bacterial small subunit ribosomal RNA", at positions 355 to 896 of the family's 1533-position model. The record is from RNAcentral.